This 160-nucleotide ribosomal RNA is filed under the name Neophaeococcomyces catenatus. RNAcentral describes it as "5.8S ribosomal RNA". It matches the Rfam family "5.8S ribosomal RNA". From Rfam's summary of the family: 5.8S ribosomal RNA (5.8S rRNA) is a component of the large subunit of the eukaryotic ribosome. It is transcribed by RNA polymerase I as part of the 45S precursor that also contains 18S and 28S rRNA. RNAcentral also lists the same sequence under 1 other name. The record is from RNAcentral. Lineage: Eukaryota; Fungi; Ascomycota; Eurotiomycetes; Chaetothyriales.
AAAACUUUCAACAACGGAUCUCUUGGUUCUGGCAUCGAUGAAGAACGCAGCGAAAUGCGAUAAGUAAUGCGAAUUGCAGAAUUUCCGUGAGUCAUCGAAUCUUUGAACGCACAUUGCGCCCUUUGGUAUUCCGAAGGGCAUGCCUGUUCGAGCGUCAUUA